GGAGGGUUGGCCGAAUGGGCAAGGCACCGGUCUUGAAAACCGGCGGGUCGCACGACCCUUGUGGGUUCGAAUCCCACACCCUCCGCCA
This 88-nucleotide transfer RNA is filed under the name bacterium HR08. RNAcentral's name for it is "tRNA-Ser". It matches the Rfam family "tRNA". From Rfam's summary of the family: Transfer RNA (tRNA) molecules are approximately 80 nucleotides in length. Their secondary structure includes four short double-helical elements and three loops (D, anti-codon, and T loops). The record is from RNAcentral.